RNAcentral lists this ribosomal RNA (500 nucleotides) under uncultured Glomeromycotina. RNAcentral describes it as "partial small subunit ribosomal RNA". It matches the Rfam family "Eukaryotic small subunit ribosomal RNA", at positions 591 to 1092 of the family's 1831-position model. The record is from RNAcentral. Lineage: Eukaryota; Fungi; Glomeromycota.
CCAAUAGCGUAUAUUAAAGUUGUUGCAGUUAAAAAGCUCGUAGUUGAACUUCGGGAUCAAUUGAUAUGGUCAUGCCUUGGUAUGUACUGUUCAUAUUGGUUCUCACCUUCUAAUGAACCAUAAUGUCAUUUAUUUGAUGUUAUGGGGAAUUAGGACUGUUACCUUGAAAAAAUUAGAGUGUUUAAAGCAGGCUCACGCUUGAAUACAUUAGCAUGGAAUAAUGAAAUAAGACAUCGCAUUCUAUUUUGUUGGUUUCUAGGAUCGAUGUAAUGAUUAAUAGGGAUAGUUGGGGGCAUUAGUAUUCAAUUGUCAGAGGUGAAAUUCUUGGAUUUAUUGAAGACUAACUACUGCGAAAGCAUUUGCCAAGGAUGUUUUCAUUAAUCAAGAACGAAAGUUAGGGGAUCGAAGACGAUCAGAUACCGUCGUAGUCUUAACCAUAAACUAUGCCGACUAGGGAUCGGAUGAUGUUGAUUUUUUAAUGACUCAUUCGGCACCUUACG